ACAGCACACGGACGCAGAGAUCCUCGGGACACGCAGUAUCGGUCGCCCGCGUACGGCAGGUGGGGUCCUCCCUACCGCCGUCGUGGUCCCGAGGGGAGCGAGUGGCGAGACCGGCCGUGGACACG
This 125-nucleotide non-coding RNA is filed under the name unclassified sequences. Its description in RNAcentral is "c-di-GMP sequence". It matches the Rfam family "c-di-GMP-II-GAG riboswitch aptamer". The record is from Rfam by way of RNAcentral.